Triticum aestivum (bread wheat) is the source of this 2803-nucleotide long non-coding RNA. RefSeq lists it as uncharacterized. The record is from RefSeq and is a predicted model, not a curated record. The transcript is spliced from 7 exons. Lineage: Eukaryota; Viridiplantae; Streptophyta; Magnoliopsida; Poales; Poaceae.
UUUUCCAUGAUUCGCCAUCUCAGUUAUUUCGCUUGUGCCUUCCUCGCCCUCUCCCGUUCUUUCCUCCUGUUCAAUCAAUAUUUCCAAUGAAGCUCGGGCGUGGAAUUGCGAUGGAAACCGGCUUGAAUACCGCGGGAGGAAAGUAGGACAACUUCGAUCUCAAAAAAUUCGGACGCCAUGAGACGAUCUGUCUAUGAGUUGAAGAAAAUUGGGAGGUGGACAUGCAGGUACUAUAUAUUGGGUGUGUUCGGUGCGACGGGAAACAAGAUCACUGACGCUUGAAACAGCUAUCGUCAAUUAAUGUGACAUUCUUGGGUAACUAAAAUGACGGCUCAAGGUGACAUGAGUAGAGCAGAAACUCUGAACAUCGACGAGUUGGAGAAUUUGAUGGCAAGGAAGCUAACUUAUUAUAGAUCAAUUUACAAAGAUCACAACCAGCGAAGAAAAUUGUGCAUAAUUUUCCGAGUUCCGAAACAUAUUAAGCAAGUUGACAAGUUAUCUUACGAACCAAAAGUUAUGUCCAUAGGUCCUUAUUACCAUGGAAAUUUUCCCUGCAGUUUAUGGAGAAAGUAAAAUGGAACUGCUUAGAUUAUGUUCUCAAACAGAACAGCGGAAAAAAGUUAGAGGCCUAUCUAACAAUUAUGGAGAGUCUUGAGAAGCAGGCAAGGAGUUGUUAUUCUGAGGAAGUUUCUCUGGAAAGUGACAUGUUCCUGCGAAUGCUCCUGCUUGAAGGAUGCUUUGUACUUGUUUAUCUUGGUGGCACGAACGGCUUAAAUUGGUGCGUUAAUGAACAGAAUGCAAGUGGUAGUAAUUAUCAGGGGGGAGAACCACUUCAAUACACAAUAGCACAACCAGAGGAGAUUACCGAGCAUGCAUCAAAUAAGGGAACAAGUACUGAAAGUAUGAGAUUGAUUACUGGGACAUCAUCCGAUUUAUGUUCAGCAGAAGGUGUGGAACUUGAGCAUAUUAGUACAGGUGAACAAUGCUACGAUCAGAAGGAUCCUGACCAACCCAAAUGUGACCCAAUUUCUGAAUGGCAUCACGCCCAUGCCUUUCGCGACCUACUUCUUGUUGAGAACCAAUUACCAUUUUCCAUUGUGAAGAGAAUAUAUGGGUUACUUGUUGGAGAAGAUGUUGUAGAUCUACUUGCUGAAAAGGUCCGUAAAUAUUUAGAACUCAAUAUUCAGAAGUACACGACAGUUGCUCGUAAUUUUGAUGGGAAAACAGACUUCCACCACUUGCUCCAUUUGUGUCAUAUGUACUUCCGACCUCAACAAAGGAUUCAACCAGAGCAAAAUUUUCAAAUUAGAAACCGAUGGUUGCGUCCUCUCACAACUUUGUGGCACACAUAUUACAAAAGAAGUUAUUUUGAAGAGUUGUCUAUCAAUCAGCAGGCAGCAUCUCAUAUAAGUUCUUGUCAGACACUGAAUCGAUGGUGAUGAGCGGAACAGUAUCAUGAAGCUGGAAUUGAGUUUAAGAGCAAAGAGCACAACAAACAUAACCCGCCUUCUCUUCUGGACAUAACUUUUGACAAGGGUGAGGUGGAAAUUCCAUGCUUGCUUAUUGAUGAAAAUACCAUUUGCCUCUUCAGGAACUUGGUUGCAUUUGAGCAAACAUGCUCGCAGCUUGGAAAUGAUGUCACUUCCUAUAUCACUUUUAUUACCCAGCUUGUUAGUACACCCUGUGAUGUUGCACUGCUUGCUCGCAAAGGAAUAAUCCUGCACCACAUGCGUACCGAUGAAGAAGUGUCAACUCUUUUCAGUAAGCUGGGUAAGAAUGUGGACUUUGAUCAGAAUGGUGUGCACUAUCUUAAAUCCGUUUGCCGUAUGAUGGAAGAGUAUUAUCGGAAUCGCGUAAACAGAUGGAUGGCCUGGUUGUGGCAUAACCAUCUCAAAACUCCAUUGUUGGUUUUAGCGGUAGUAGUAGCAGCAAUCGUUCUUCUCUGCACCAUUAUCCAAUCAUUGUUAUCCUUGCUUGCGUAUUUGGAUCAGACAACGGGUACUAAUUAGGCAACUAGCUAGGUUCCACACAAUUUGUAAACAUUGGGUUGGACACCAACGUACUCCUUAAGGCAUAAAAACAGUGGACACCCUGACGAACUGGGCACAUGCCACGAUGAAUAUUGGUGAUGUUUUAUUUUGAUCAUCGGCGAUUAGCGAUGCAAUAGUGAGCAUUGAGGGAGAGAGAAGGAGGCGAUGGCUCCCCUCCGGUGGCACCACAAGGGUCCUGUAUGCCAAUAUGAACUCGAGACUGACCACUUCACUAUGGAGUUCAUUCAUGGGAUAGGAGGCAAUAGGUCCUACGUUAGUGGAAGGAAGGUUUGGUGUAAUUGCAGUGAGGCUGACGUACAUGUAUGACCAUGUUUAAUGAUUUAUUUGAGACAUUGGGUUUUGAAAGCGAGGGAAGUAUUAACACAUACUUGUUGCUACCUGCUAUUAACAUAAUUGAGACUUUGGCUAAAUCUUGGCAUCAUAUGACCAGGAGAAGGAGGGCCUGGUACUUGUGGUUGAAUCGUACCUGAGGUAGAUCCAUAGAUGGGCACUGCUGGUGGAAUCACACGUAGUGGAAGCAACUUACCAAUUCUACAGGAAACAUCGACGAUGGAGCACAUUUCAGGGUUCAUCCAAAGAUUAAGGGACCAGAACACACAAGAACAUAAGAAGGGCGUUGGAAUAGAAAAGAAGUAAUCUCUUUGUUUUCAUGGCACUCACCAAGAGCACUACAACACGAUCGACGAUUGUGUGCUCAAUGGUUGUUGCUUUCGUGGUGCUUGCUAUUAUAUGUUCUACCAUGCCAUCCUGCC